RNAcentral lists this long non-coding RNA (600 nucleotides) under Homo sapiens (human). RNAcentral's name for it is "HSALNT0351645". Lineage: Eukaryota; Metazoa; Chordata; Mammalia; Primates; Hominidae. The record is from RNAcentral.
CUUUAACCUCAAGUCCUCUUGCUGCUAACUUAAGCUGCGACUGUCCAGGACCUGCACACACACACACAUGCACGCAUGCACACACACACACACAGAAGGUGAACACACAGGAUGAGGCCCUGAAAACUCAUUUCACCCGUGUACCUCACCCAAAAAUUCCCCUUUGUACUCCUAUCUUUAUCUCUAACUGACAGCAUGAAGGUAGCCCGAAGUCCCCUCACCCUGUCUGUCCUCCUGAUUCUCUAGCCCAGUUCCCUCUAGCUCCAGCACAGACUCUUAUCUCCAGCCCUGACUGCCGAAACCCUCCAGCCCCAGCUCCAGCCCCUCAGGAGGGGACUGCGUGGGAGGAAUGACUCCAGCAAGCCGGCAGCUGACCCGUCUCCUGCCUGCACGCCUCCCGCUGUGGUCCACUGCCGGUGGUCUUCAGCUCUCUCCUCGUCCCACCCCCAUGGUCUGCUGACAGCCCAGCUCAGUGCAUCCCUGCCAUCUCUGCUCUACCGCUGGUCCUCCCAACAACCAACUUACAGUUACAGCGCAUCUUGAUCUUGUUCCUCCGUGACUGUCCCUGGCUCAGCUUCCACCCCCAGCUGGGGCUCAGCU